This 108-nucleotide small nuclear RNA is filed under the name Sciurus vulgaris (Eurasian red squirrel). The record is from RNAcentral. Lineage: Eukaryota; Metazoa; Chordata; Mammalia; Rodentia; Sciuridae.
GUACUCACUUUGGCAGCACAUAUACUAAAAUUGGAAGACUACAAAGGAGAUUAGCAUGGCCCCCUUUGCAAGGAUAACAUUCAAAUUCAUGAAUUGUUCCAUAUUAAA